This 486-nucleotide ribosomal RNA is filed under the name uncultured bacterium. Its description in RNAcentral is "bacterial SSU rRNA". It matches the Rfam family "Bacterial small subunit ribosomal RNA", at positions 1 to 507 of the family's 1533-position model. The record is from RNAcentral.
AGUAGUUUGAUCAGUGGCUCAGGACGAACGCUGGCGGCGUGCCUAACACAUGCAAGUCGAACGAGGUCCAUCCUUCGGGAGAAGACCUAGUGGCGAACGGGUGAGUAACACGUGAAAGAACCUGCCCCGAAGACCGGGAUAACCCUCCGAAAGGAGAGCUAAUACCGGAUACCCCCACCGAACCGCAUGGUUUGGUGAGGAAAUGGAUUCCGCUUCGGGAGGGCUUCGCGGCCUAUCAGCUAGUUGGUGGGGUAACGGCCCACCAAGGCAUCGACGGGUAGCUGGUCUGAGAGGACGAUCAGCCACACUGGGACUGAGACACGGCCCAGACUCCUACGGGGAGGCAGCAGUGGGGAAUCUUGCGCAAUGGGCGAAAGCCUGACGCAGCAACGCCGCGUGGGGGAUGAAGGCUCUCGGGUUGUAAACCCCUUUCAGCAGGGACGAAUCAAGACGGUACCUGCAGAAGAAGCCCCGGCUAACUACGUG